This 484-nucleotide ribosomal RNA is filed under the name uncultured bacterium. RNAcentral describes it as "partial 16S ribosomal RNA". It matches the Rfam family "Bacterial small subunit ribosomal RNA", at positions 30 to 507 of the family's 1533-position model. The record is from RNAcentral.
AUUGAACGCUGGCGGCAGGCCUAACACAUGCAAGUCGAGCGGAUGAAGGGAGCUUGCUCCUGGAUUCCGCGGCGGACGGGUGAGUAAUGCCUAGGAAUCUGCCUGGUAGUGGGGGAUAACGUCCGGAAACGGGCGCUAAUACCGCAUACGUCCUGAGGGAGAAAGUGGGGGAUCUUCGGACCUCACGCUAUCAGAUGAGCCUAGGUCGGAUUAGCUAGUUGGUGGGGUAAAGGCCUACCAAGGCGACGAUCCGUAACUGCUCUGAGAGGAUGAUCAGUCACACUGGAACUGAGACACGGUCCAGACUCCUACGGGAGGCAGCAGUGGGGAAUAUUGGACAAUGGGCGAAAGCCUGAUCCAGCCAUGCCGCGUGUGUGAAGAAGGUCUUCGGAUUGUAAAGCACUUUAAGUUGGGAGGAAGGGCAGUAAGUUAAUACCUUGCUGUUUUGACGUUACCAACAGAAUAAGCACCGGCUAACUUCGUG